RNAcentral lists this unclassified non-coding RNA (891 nucleotides) under Hevea brasiliensis (rubber tree). The record is from RNAcentral. Lineage: Eukaryota; Viridiplantae; Streptophyta; Magnoliopsida; Malpighiales; Euphorbiaceae.
CUAUAUAACAUUUCAGAAUGCACAAAAGCAACCAUUAAUGCAUAUUGUUCCACAUUAUGUUGGGCUGGAAAACUGAAUGACUAGAUUCCAUUUUUCAAUUUCAGCAUUUCUGAGAAAUAAAACUAAAAACCAAACUGUGAAAAACAUAUCUCAAAUUACAUCACAUUGUCAUCUCACUCUUAACAAAUUCUGUUGCUGAAAUUGUGAUCGCAGCUGUGUUUAGAUACUUAAAGGUGAAACCCCAACGGCAUGCAAGUCCCAUUUAACAUAGAUUAUGACAAAAAAUAACUCAAUUAAACAUUCAAACACAUUAAAAAGGCUCAUAGUCUCACAGGCAUUCAAAGCAAAAACAGAUCUAUAAAAAUAGAAUGUGAAUUUUGGGGAAAAAAUAAUGAAAUCAUAAAGCGAUCUAUGCAAACAGUACCUUUAAGGCAUAUAACAAAGAGAAGGACAAAAAAAAAAAAAAAGUGCCGUUAGUCCUUGUUGCUUUGAUAUUUGUACACCAUUUUAUUUUGUUUUUAAUGUAAAUAAUAUAAUAAAAUUGACAUUUCAAGCAGUGAACGAGAAUAAAUGCAUUUUUUUCUAUAAAAUUCAUUUUGCUAAUAAAUCUAUUACUAAUGAAUUAAAGAUUUUCUUUCAUUCAUUAUAUUAUUUCUGAGGCAAAGUACAAAAGGAAAACAUAUAAUAACCAGAAAGAAAAUCAAGUAAAAACAGAAAGAUUAGUCAAUUUCGGCCUCCUUUGAUGUUAUGUUCUUUAGAUAACAGAAUGGACCAUAUGAUGAAAGGCAUCAAUGGCAAGAAAGCUAUAAAAGAUUAUAAUACCAGUGCAACCCCUAUUUCAUAAAACUAAAUUCCCAUGACAAUUAAUUCCAAUUUCUCAAUAGCAUCUAA